GGUUGUGGCUCAGUGGUAGAGCGCUUGCCUAGCAUGUGUGAGGCACUGGGUUCAAUCCCUGGCACCA
RNAcentral lists this transfer RNA (67 nucleotides) under Marmota monax (woodchuck). RNAcentral describes it as "tRNA.Ala". It matches the Rfam family "tRNA". Rfam says of the family: Transfer RNA (tRNA) molecules are approximately 80 nucleotides in length. Their secondary structure includes four short double-helical elements and three loops (D, anti-codon, and T loops). RNAcentral also lists the same sequence under 1 other name. Lineage: Eukaryota; Metazoa; Chordata; Mammalia; Rodentia; Sciuridae. The record is from RNAcentral.